GUGACAAGCUCCGAGUGGUGCUCCAGUCUCCCUAAAAAAAAAAAAACGUCGAGGGAAGUUAUGUUCGCAGAAAAGUCUCUUCACAGGUAGUAAUUUCAUCAACUCUAUCACGCGCACAUCCUACUUCCCUAAAAUCAGUUAACAACACAAGCAUCAGGAAGAGAGGAAACAAGUGGUGAAUAAGUAAGAAUCGGAUCGUAACAGCUCCAGGAAGGAUAGCUUUUGAUUGUGAUGUGGUGGAGCCCCCCGGCGGGCCGCGGGGGCAGGAGGUCAGAGGUAGAUCGGUUGUGAGGUCAACAAGCACGGCUCGAUUGUCCCGGGGCGAAAUCUCUGGUAGAGCGGAGGAGGAGAUAGAAUGGUGUGACCUCCGGCGUCAUCCCGCCCGACGCGGAGGUGGUGCUGGAGGUGGUGGAGGUGGCGGUGGAGUCGAGCAGCUGCUCGACUCAGAGGAGGAAGAGCCAACGGCGAUGUCGAGGCAGCUUCGUGGAGACCGUGACCACGUGAGCCGCGACUACCAAGAGGGUUACCACACUGAUUAUCGGGACCUGCGCGAACAUCUCAGGGAUUUCAGGGACUUCCAUCGAGAUACCCUCGACGAAAGAGACGGUCAGGGACCCACCGCUAGUAGAACAUAUCGAGACGACUAUUCGGAAGAAUAUGAUCAUCGUUCUACCGCUGUUGUAUCCACCUCGGCGAAUCUUACCAACAAUCCGAGCCAGCUUCUGUACGAAGUUUCCUUUAAACUUGAAAGGAGGUCAAACGUGUUACAGGACGAAACGAGAGUGUGUACAGCACAAGACGAGAGUGAGAGACUGUGAUAUCAAGGGUGAGGGAUCGACUUCUUUGAUGACAGUAGUCGCUCUCUUUGACAUCCCCGGUAAUCGAAUCCUCUCAUUUGUAG
RNAcentral lists this unclassified non-coding RNA (901 nucleotides) under Acromyrmex echinatior (Panamanian leafcutter ant). RNAcentral's name for it is "uncharacterized LOC105151323, transcript variant X2". The record is from RNAcentral. Lineage: Eukaryota; Metazoa; Arthropoda; Insecta; Hymenoptera; Formicidae.